UGGGCGCAAGCCUGAUGCAGCCAUGCCGCGUGUGUGAAGAAGGCCUUCGGGUUGUAAAGCACUUUCAGUCAGGAGGAAAGGUUAGUAGUUAAUACCUGCUAGCUGUGACGUUACUGACAGAAGAAGCACCGGCUAACUCCGUGCCAGCAGCCGCGGUAAUACGGAGGGUGCGAGCGUUAAUCGGAAUUACUGGGCGUAAAGCGUACGCAGGCGGUUUGUUAAGCGAGAUGUGAAAGCCCCGGGCUCAACCUGGGAACUGCAUUUCGAACUGGCAAACUAGAGUGUGAUAGAGGGUGGUAGAAUUUCAGGUGUAGCGGUGAAAUGCGUAGAGAUCUGAAGGAAUACCGAUGGCGAAGGCAGCCACCUGGGUCAACACUGACGCUCAUGUACGAAAGCGUGGGGAGCAAACAGGAUUAGAUACCCUGGUAGUCCACGCCGUAAACGAUGUCUACUAGAAGCUCGGAGCCUCGGCUCUGUUUUUCAAAGCUAACGCAUUAAGUAGACCGCCUGGGGAGUACGGCCGCAAGGUUAAAACUCAA
Molecule: ribosomal RNA, 539 nt
Filed under: Pseudoalteromonas atlantica
Lineage: Bacteria; Pseudomonadati; Pseudomonadota; Gammaproteobacteria; Alteromonadales; Pseudoalteromonadaceae
Description: bacterial SSU rRNA
Rfam family: Bacterial small subunit ribosomal RNA
Source: RNAcentral